Molecule: long non-coding RNA, 900 nt
Organism: Xyrauchen texanus (razorback sucker)
Lineage: Eukaryota; Metazoa; Chordata; Actinopteri; Cypriniformes; Catostomidae
Exons: 3
Source: RefSeq, a predicted model, not a curated record
CGCCAGACUUGAUUGCAUGGAGGGAAGAACGCAGUGUUCAAGAUGCCGUCUACCUGCUGUGUUAUAAACUGCAAUAGUCGUUCUCACGAUAGAAGUGGCAUAAAGCUUAAGAACGGAAAAUCCUUUUAUCGGUUUCCAGCGUGGAAAAAUAAUAGUACAAGCCACGUUUCAGAGGUGACAAACAGGCGACGAAUGGCAUGGAUAGCAGCAGUAAGGAGGCCCAAGAUUACCUUCGAUAACUUCCACCACACAUUAUGGUGUGUUCAAAGUAUUUUCACAAAGGCAAACCUGCCUAUGAAAUGUUGGAGUGUGAUCCUGACUGAGCCCCUUCUCUGUACCUCGGCCAUACUGAGGUCAAAGCUACGAACACAGACCGGUUCAAGCGGUUUAGGAGAAGAGCGACGAGGUCACAACAACAGCAUCGCCAGGCACUGACCACACUGGUCCUGAGGCUGAGUUGGAUAAUGCAGCACCUUUAUACCCAGACAACACUACACCUGCAACUGAGAUGGAAGGUCCCGUGAAUCCACCCCCAUCGCUAUAUUAAAGAAAGUGUUGCCCUUGUGGGUGCUACACUGAAAAUACCUGCCUUCACCAGGGGCCACAGACCAGGAAGUUAGCUCAUGUCAGGAUCCACGUGGAGCGAGUGAUCGGGUGUAUGCGCUCUAAGUUUAACAUAUUAAAUGACACAAUACGUCUGGGAUUUGGGGUGCCUUGAGAGGCGGAGGAUAAGACUUAGCUGGAUAUAAUUUUGGUUUGGGAGUGCUGUGCUUUGACCAAUAUGUGUCCGAGUAUUGUUGUGAAGCCGUCGUGUUAGAAUUAUACACCAUGCUCACAUCUAAUAUGUAAAUAUGUUUUUUUUUUUUUUUUUCAAAAGAUUUUGUAAUGUCACUUCUCACA